This 520-nucleotide ribosomal RNA is filed under the name uncultured Methylophilus sp. RNAcentral describes it as "bacterial SSU rRNA". It matches the Rfam family "Bacterial small subunit ribosomal RNA", at positions 388 to 899 of the family's 1533-position model. Lineage: Bacteria; Pseudomonadati; Pseudomonadota; Betaproteobacteria; Nitrosomonadales; Methylophilaceae. The record is from RNAcentral.
CCAGCCAUUCCGCGUGAGUGAAGAAGGCCUUCGGGUUGUAAAGCUCUUUCGCAAGGGAAGAAAACUUACAUUCUAAUAAAGUGUGAGGCUGACGGUACCUUGAUAAGAAGCACCGGCUAACUACGUGCCAGCAGCCGCGGUAAUACGUAGGGUGCGAGCGUUAAUCGGAAUUACUGGGCGUAAAGCGUGCGCAGGCGGUUUUGUAAGUCAGAUGUGAAAUCCCCGAGCUCAACUUGGGAACUGCGUUUGAAACUACAAGACUAGAAUAUGUCAGAGGGGGGUAGAAUUCCACGUGUAGCAGUGAAAUGCGUAGAGAUGUGGAGGAAUACCAAUGGCGAAGGCAGCCCCCUGGGAUAAUAUUGACGCUCAUGCACGAAAGCGUGGGGAGCAAACAGGAUUAGAUACCCUGGUAGUCCACGCCCUAAACGAUGUCUACUAGUUGUUGGUGGAGUAAAAUCCAUGAGUAACGCAGCUAACGCGUGAAGUAGACCGCCUGGGGAGUACGGUCGCAAGAUUAAAA